ACUGCCAUACAACAUUGAAAACACCGGUUCUCGUCCGAUUACCGAAGUUAAGCAAUGUUGGGCCCGGUCAGUAUUUGGGAGGGUGACCACCUGGGAACACCGGGUGCUGUAGGCU
RNAcentral lists this ribosomal RNA (115 nucleotides) under Cordylochernes scorpioides. The record is from RNAcentral. Lineage: Eukaryota; Metazoa; Arthropoda; Arachnida; Pseudoscorpiones; Chernetidae.